Vitis riparia (riverbank grape) is the source of this 489-nucleotide long non-coding RNA. RefSeq lists it as uncharacterized. The record is from RefSeq and is a predicted model, not a curated record. The transcript is spliced from 4 exons. Lineage: Eukaryota; Viridiplantae; Streptophyta; Magnoliopsida; Vitales; Vitaceae.
AACCAUGUAGUGUGGAAUGUGGGUAUUACGUGAUGAGAUAUAUGAAGGAAAUCAUUGCUAAUCCAAACCAACUAACAUCAAAGUUUUGCGGGAAGAAAUCAUAUAGUGAAAUGGAAAUUAAUGAAGUUCGAUCAGAUUGGGUUAUGUUAGUGACUCAGUUAAUCAUUACUCAUGUUUGAAGGUUGUACAAAAAGGCAUAGGUCAUUCUAUUAACAACGUCACUACUGCUCUUGAUGAAGGACACCCACAAACAAUUCAAAAUAUAUCAUCAAAAGAAUUUUGAGAUUGAGCAUCUAGAAAGUGAGUUACAACCAUCCUUUUGCACUUGGAAGAAAAAUGAUGUAAAACUAGAUGUAGUGAAGGUUAUGAACAAUUCAAAGUUGAAGAAGAAGUUGUAAAAUUGUUGGUUUUAGUUGUUGAUUAUGUAUGAUGUUUAUGGAUAAAUUGUAAUAGUGAAAAAGGAAGACCAUAUUUGAUACUUUUUGUCAA